UACAGAGGGGGCAAGCGUUUAUUCGGAAUUAUUGGGCGUAAAGAGCUCGUAGGCGGUCUGUCGCGUCCGUUGUGAAAACUCGAGGCUCAACCUCGGGCUUGCAGUGGAUACGGGCAGACUAGAGUGCGGUAGGGGAGACUGGAAUUCCUGGUGUAGCGGUGGAAUGCGCAGAUAUCAGGAGGAACACCGAUGGCGAAGGCAGGUCUCUGGGCCGCAACUGACGCUGAGGAGCGAAAGCAUGGGGAGCGAACAGG
This 254-nucleotide ribosomal RNA is filed under the name uncultured bacterium. RNAcentral describes it as "partial 16S ribosomal RNA". It matches the Rfam family "Bacterial small subunit ribosomal RNA", at positions 524 to 776 of the family's 1533-position model. The record is from RNAcentral.